GUUCUUAUGGUGUAGUGGCUUGGGAGAGUAAACACAUAUCACGUCUGCCUAACACGCAGAAGGUCGCCGGUUCGAAACCGGCUAAGAACA
RNAcentral lists this transfer RNA (90 nucleotides) under Hypsibius exemplaris. Its description in RNAcentral is "tRNA-Val". It matches the Rfam family "tRNA". From Rfam's summary of the family: Transfer RNA (tRNA) molecules are approximately 80 nucleotides in length. Their secondary structure includes four short double-helical elements and three loops (D, anti-codon, and T loops). The record is from RNAcentral. Lineage: Eukaryota; Metazoa; Tardigrada; Eutardigrada; Parachela; Hypsibiidae.